AACGUGGAUUAAUAUCGUAUAGUACUAUAUACCUGCCUAGGUCAAUAGUUAAAACUUCGGUGGUAUAAGAUGGGCAUGCGUCUGAUUAGGUAGUUGGUAGGGUAACGGCCUACCAAGCCAUCGAUCAGUAGGGGUUCUGAGAGGAUUAUCCCCCACACUGGUACUGAGACACGGACCAGACUCCUACGGGAGGCAGCAGUGAGGAAUAUUGGUCAAUGGGCGCAAGCCUGAACCAGCCAUCCCGCGUGCAGGAUGACGGCCCUAUGGGUUGUAAACUGCUUUUAUAUACCAAGAAAUCCAACUACGUGUAGUUGGCUGACGGUAGUAUAUGAAUAAGGACCGGCUAACUCCGUGCCAGCAGCCGCGGUAAUACGGAGGGUCCAAGCGUUAUCCGGAUUCAUUGGGUUUAAAGGGUGCGCAGGCGGGCUUGUAAGUCAGUGGUGAAAUACUGCCGCUUAACGGUAGAACUGCCAUUGAUACUGCGAGUCUUGAAUAUGGUUGAGGUAGGCGGAAUGUGUUGUGUAGCGGUGAAAUGCAUAGAUAUGACACAGAACGCCGAUUGCGAAGGCAGCUUACUAAGCCAUUAUUGACGCUGAGGCACGAAAGCGUGGGGAGCGAACAGGAUUAGAUACCCUGGUAGUCCACGCCGUAAACGAUGUUCACUCGCUGUCUGCGAUACACAGUAGGCGGCUUAGCGAAAGCAUUAAGGAACCACCU
RNAcentral lists this ribosomal RNA (717 nucleotides) under uncultured bacterium. RNAcentral's name for it is "bacterial SSU rRNA". It matches the Rfam family "Bacterial small subunit ribosomal RNA", at positions 155 to 874 of the family's 1533-position model. The record is from RNAcentral.